UCAUAAAUCAGUUAUAGUUUAUUUGAUGGUUCCUUACUACUUGGAUAACCGUAGUAAUUCUAGAGCUAAUACAUGCAGAAAGUCCCGACUUCUGGAAGGGAUGUAUUUAUUAGAUCCAAAACCAGCGCGAGUUGCCCCCGGGUGGCUCGGUUGCUUGGUGAUUCAUGAUAACUGCUCGAAUCGCAGGGCCUUGUGCCGGCAAUGAUCCAUUCAAAUUUCUGCCCUAUCAACUUUCGAUGGCAAGGUAGUGGCUUGCCAUGGUGACAACGGGUGACGGAGAAUUAGGGUUCGAUUCCGGAGAGGGAGCCUGAGAAACGGCUACCACAUCCAAGGAAGGCAGCAGGCGCGCAAAUUACCCAAUCCCGACUCGGGGAGGUAGUGACAAUAAAUAACAAUGCUGGGCUAUCGUAGUCUGGCAAUUGGAAUGAGUACAAUCUAAACCCCUUAACGAGGAACAAUUGGAGGGCAAGUCUGGUGCCAGCAGCCGCGGUAAUUCCAGCUCCAAUAGCGUAUAUAAAAGUUGUUGCAGUUAAAAAGCUCGUAGUUGGAUUUCGGGGCAGCCCGGCUGGUCCGUCGAGAGGCGAGUACUGGUCGGCCGCCCUUCCUCUCGAAAGCCCCGACUGCUCUUCACUGUAGUGGUCGGGGAGUUCGGGACGUUUACUUUGAAAAAAUUAGAGUGUUCAAGGCAGGCAAUCGCCUGAAUACAUUAGCAUGGAAUAAUGGAAGAGGACCUCGGUCCUAUUUUGUUGGUUUCUAGGGCCGAAGUAAUGAUUAAGAGGGACAGUUGGGGGCAUUCGUAUUUAAUUGUCAGAGGUGAAAUUCUCGGAUUUAUGAAAGACGAACAACUGCGAAAGCAUUUGCCAAGGAUGUUUUCAUUAAUCAAGAACGAAAGUUAGGGGUUCGAAGACGAUCAGAUACCGUCGUAGUCCUAACCAUAAACUAUGCCGACUAGGGAUCGGCGGAAGUUAGUGUUUGACUCCCUCGGCACCUUAUGAGAAAU
RNAcentral lists this ribosomal RNA (1000 nucleotides) under Axinella verrucosa. Its description in RNAcentral is "SSU rRNA". It matches the Rfam family "Eukaryotic small subunit ribosomal RNA", at positions 98 to 1098 of the family's 1831-position model. The record is from RNAcentral. Lineage: Eukaryota; Metazoa; Porifera; Demospongiae; Axinellida; Axinellidae.